GCACUGAAGUGGAAGGUGGGGUGAGGAAGGUGAGACAGGGCUCCCUGUUUGCUGGGGGUGAGCGGGGGUGAGCGGGGGUGGGGGCAGCAGAGGAGCACCUGCCUCAGAGAAUCAUCAGCACAGUUGUAUGGGGACAGAUUUUGCCUGAUGCCGGCCUCCUGCUCUGCAGAACAGGGAGAGGAGUCUGGCUUGUGGGCAGCACAGAGCCCCGGACCUCAGGAAGCCUGCAGGGUGAGGACAAGUGGGAGCGGCCAUCGCAGGAGAACUCUCCAAUCAGGAGGAGCGGAGCCAGCACUCAGCUGUCAUCCAGGAGGACCAGAACCCGAGCGCAGGAGACACAGAGCUGCCCACCGGCCCCACCAGCAGCUCACCAUGGGCCCCACACUCCUUCCCUGGGCGAUGCUUUGUCUCCUGGGAGCAGGCCCCUUGGAGGCUGGAGUCACCCAAACUCCAAGACACCUGAUCAAAACCACAGGACAGACGGUGACCCUGAGAUGUUCCCCUAUCUCUGGGCACCUCGGUAUAUCUUGGUACCAACAGGCCUGGAGUCAGGGCCCUCAGCUGCUCUUUGAGUUUUAUGAAAGGAGGCAAACAGCCAAAGGAAACUUCCCGGAUCGAUUCUUAGCACAACAGUUCAGUGACUCUCGCUCUGAGCUGAACGUGAGCUCCUUGCAGCUGUCGGACUCAGCCCUGUAUCUCUGCGCCAGCAGCCUGCUCAGCGUCAGGGGCCACCCAUGUGCCCUGGGCACCAGUGCUCUUCCACCCUUGGCUUAUUUUUUUAAAUGGGCAUUUAUACCAUGUCCCAUAGUCAGUGUCUUUCUGGACAUCGCCCACUUAGACACCACAAAUUCUGCAGCCUGA
This is a non-coding RNA of Vicugna pacos (alpaca), 861 nucleotides long. Lineage: Eukaryota; Metazoa; Chordata; Mammalia; Artiodactyla; Camelidae. The record is from the annotation of a RefSeq genome assembly.